UUGAUUGAUUUAUUCAAAAAGGUUUUAAUACCUUUUGAGUCAAACACUAUCGCGGACCUGUCAAAGGUGAGCCUGUCUAAACUGUAAAGCCUUCCUCAUGCAUGCACGUUGUUAUCAAGCCUACAAACCAUCAUCAAAAGAGAAUUAGAAACAACUUCCAGCCCAAACCUACCAGAUUCUCCAUUCUCAAUGGCAAUCACAAUCAGCUGGAUGUUGAUCCCCCUCUUUUCUCUUGCCUUUUUAAUUCUGUGGUUACUGUCAGAAGUUUAUAAGUCAUUUGAACUACCAAUAUAUCUAGUAAUAUUUCUUUGUGACAAUUAUUUAAUUAGGUUUUGGUAGUGCUUUUCUGAAUUUUAAAGAUAGAUCAAAACUACUACUAUUUGGCAAUCAAAUUUAUGCUCACUUGUUUGGUUUUCGUUACUCUUUGAGUAUGAUGGUGAUUAAGGAGGCAAACUGAUUGAUUCCAGCCGAAAGCUGCUAGUAGUAAUUAAUGUCUUUUUAAUUAUCUUCACUUACCUUAUGGUGGUAAAGUAGAAACAUGAAUAAAUUCUGGAAGCUAGCAGGAUAAGACAUAGGUGGUCAGUGGGUCACCAUUAGGUCUCCCAUCUUUGAUUUUGUUUUUAGCCUUUUGGAGCAUUACUAUACUAACAGAAAUGUCCAAUUCAAGUAUGGUGUUCCCUACUCCUAAAGCCUAAAUUUGAGGAAAAUAUUGCAUGUAAGUUGCAUUGGUAGUGCUUAAAAUUCGAACCCCGCCACAUCCCAAAAACAAAUAGGAGUAUCGGAUAAGCCUAAACUUUAGAUAUGAGCACUUUAUGUUGUGCCCCACAAUCAAAUGCUGUAGCAUCUAGGUUAAACUAGGAAAAAUAAUUGACCCUUUUACAAAAUUAAAGGGAGAAACAAAUCACCUUCUUAUCAAGAAUUACGAAUGAAUUUGUAUCAGACAAAUUUGGUUUCCUACAUUCUCAUGCUAUCUAUGCACGUCCUUGACAUAGAGAUCGGCCCAACUGAUGCAGAUCCGAGUAAGGUCGACCCCAGUAAAUGAACGGACCGAGUGACGUGACCCAAGACGACGUCGUUUGAAGCUCUAACUCUACCGUACACUAAGACCACCAACUUCUGUACUCUUCUUUGAUUAUUUCAAGGAAGGUCCCUUGAUAUAUAAAGGGGACCUUCCCUUUGUAAAGGAUCAUGUGUUUUUUGCUACUUAGAAUAUACAACUCUCUCCCUCUCUUUCUCUCUCUCUCUUGUGCAAAGAUUAUUACUUGUUCCAUUACUCUUGCAUCUUAAGAUUUUUACAUCUCAUUAUUGUUACCGAUCUUAGCUCGAUAACACUCUCUAGUCCAUAUUACACUUGAUUCCGAUUUACCCUUUUAUAUUUUCGAUUGUUCUUGAGCUUAAUAAGUAUUCACAUAACUUUUU
This 1419-nucleotide long non-coding RNA is filed under the name Nicotiana benthamiana. RNAcentral describes it as "long non-coding RNA (NBEN_LNC015067)". Lineage: Eukaryota; Viridiplantae; Streptophyta; Magnoliopsida; Solanales; Solanaceae. The record is from RNAcentral.